RNAcentral lists this ribosomal RNA (2146 nucleotides) under Vibrio parahaemolyticus. RNAcentral describes it as "partial 23S ribosomal RNA". It matches the Rfam family "Bacterial large subunit ribosomal RNA", at positions 540 to 2739 of the family's 2925-position model. The record is from RNAcentral. Lineage: Bacteria; Pseudomonadati; Pseudomonadota; Gammaproteobacteria; Vibrionales; Vibrionaceae.
GAAAUAGAACCUGAAACCGUGUACGUACAAGCAGUAGGAGCACCUUCGUGGUGUGACUGCGUACCUUUUGUAUAAUGGGUCAGCGACUUAUAUUCAGUGGCAAGGUUAACCAUCUAGGGGAGCCGUAGGGAAACCGAGUCUUAACUGGGCGUUCAGUCUCUGGAUAUAGACCCGAAACCAGGUGAUCUAGCCAUGGGCAGGUUGAAGGUUGAGUAACAUCAACUGGAGGACCGAACCGACUAAUGUUGAAAAAUUAGCGGAUGACUUGUGGCUAGGGGUGAAAGGCCAAUCAAACCUGGAGAUAGCUGGUUCUCCCCGAAAGCUAUUUAGGUAGCGCCUCGGACGAAUACUACUGGGGGUAGAGCACUGUUAAGGCUAGGGGGUCAUCCCGACUUACCAACCCUUUGCAAACUCCGAAUACCAGUAAGUACUAUCCGGGAGACACACGGCGGGUGCUAACGUCCGUCGGGGAAGGCUCAGACAGCCAGGAUGUUGGCUUAGAAGCAGCCAUCAUUUAAAGAAAGCGUAAUAGCUCACUGGUCGAGUCGGCCUGCGCGGAAGAUGUAACGGGGCUAAGUAGUAAACCGAAGCUGCGGCAAUGUGCUUUUGCACAUUGGGUAGGGGAGCGUUCUGUAAGCGGUUGAAGGUGUGUGGUAACGCAUGCUGGACGUAUCAGAAGUGCGAAUGCUGACAUGAGUAACGAUAAAGGGGGUGAAAAACCUCCUCGCCGGAAGACCAAGGGUUCCUGUCCAACGUUAAUCGGGGCAGGGUAAGUCGACCCCUAAGGCGAGGCCGAAAGGCGUAGUCGAUGGGAAACGGGUUAAUAUUCCCGUACUUCUUACAAUUGCGAUGGGGGGACGGAGAAGGCUAGGUGGGCCUGGCGACGGUUGUCCAGGUUCAAGUGCGUAGGCUUAAGAGUUAGGUAAAUCCGGCUCUUUUUAAGGCUGAGACACGACGUCGAGCACCUACGGGUGUGAAGUCAUUGAUGCCAUGCUUCCAGGAAAAGCCUCUAAGCUUCAGAUUGUAAGGAAUCGUACCCCAAACCGACACAGGUGGUCGGGUAGAGAAUACCAAGGCGCUUGAGAGAACUCGGGUGAAGGAACUAGGCAAAAUGGUACCGUAACUUCGGGAGAAGGUACGCUCUUGAUGGUGAAGUCCCUCGCGGAUGGAGCUGACGAGAGUCGCAGAUACCAGGUGGCUGCAACUGUUUAUUAAAAACACAGCACUGUGCAAAAUCGUAAGAUGACGUAUACGGUGUGACGCCUGCCCGGUGCCGGAAGGUUAAUUGAUGGGGUUAGACUUCGGUCGAAGCUCUUGAUCGAAGCCCCGGUAAACGGCGGCCGUAACUAUAACGGUCCUAAGGUAGCGAAAUUCCUUGUCGGGUAAGUUCCGACCUGCACGAAUGGCGUAAUGAUGGCCACGCUGUCUCCACCCGAGACUCAGUGAAAUUGAAAUCGCUGUGAAGAUGCAGUGUACCCGCGGCUAGACGGAAAGACCCCGUGAACCUUUACUACAGCUUGGCACUGAACAUUGACCCUACAUGUGUAGGAUAGGUGGGAGGCUUUGAAGCAGGUACGCCAGUAUCUGUGGAGCCGUCCUUGAAAUACCACCCUUGUAGUGUUGAUGUUCUAACGUCGACCCCUAAUCGGGGUUGCGGACAGUGCCUGGUGGGUAGUUUGACUGGGGCGGUCUCCUCCCAAAGAGUAACGGAGGAGCACGAAGGUGGGCUAAUCACGGUUGGACAUCGUGAGGUUAGUGCAAUGGCAUAAGCCCGCUUGACUGCGAGAAUGACAAUUCGAGCAGGUGCGAAAGCAGGUCAUAGUGAUCCGGUGGUUCUGAAUGGAAGGGCCAUCGCUCAACGGAUAAAAGGUACUCCGGGGAUAACAGGCUGAUACCGCCCAAGAGUUCAUAUCGACGGCGGUGUUUGGCACCUCGAUGUCGGCUCAUCACAUCCUGGGGCUGAAGUCGGUCCCAAGGGUAUGGCUGUUCGCCAUUUAAAGUGGUACGCGAGCUGGGUUUAGAACGUCGUGAGACAGUUCGGUCCCUAUCUGCCGUGGGCGUUGGAAGAUUGAAGGGGGCUGCUCCUAGUACGAGAGGACCGGAGUGGACGAACCUCUGGUGUUCGGGUUGUGUCGCCAGACGCAUU